CGAGGUAACGGAAGACGGUUUGAGAAACAUAUGAGGAGUGAGGAUGGAAUUUUUUAACACGUUCCAGAAAGAAUAGUAAAGAAAACUUAAACGGUGGAGAUGAGUACAUGUGACGUACGUUACGGUGUAUUCGUCGUAUAAAAACGAGCAGUCACUCCCAAAAGGAAAAAAAUUAACGAACAAGUUGUUGACGUCGUUCUUUGUGUAGUUACUCUUUUAUAAUCAGGAUAACUUUACUAGUUUACCAUACUUUACUAUAGUAUACUAGUUUACUUAAUGUUGUUCUUUAUAUCAUGUUGAUUCUUUUAUGAGGAACUAACUUUACCAGUUUACCUCAUAAUUGAAUUGACUUUUAUAAGUCAAUUGAAUUUGACUUUUAUAAGUCAAUUGAAUUUUGACUUUUAUAAGACGACACAUCCUACACCCACUCCUUUCGCCUGUACGAGCUACCUGGCUGUUCCACCACUUCCUACUCGAACAAGUGACACAUACUAGGUAGGUACGGGGAAGACAAAACGACAAACAGUUGUGUGUAACAUGACAUACGAAUGUACGACAGUUACGAGUCACUCCAGACAAAGUUGCGAAUCGGUGAUCACAGUACAAAGACAGAUGACAGAAAGCACAAUUACGCAAAGUGUGACUUACAAAAACUGACAAAUUAAACCAUGUCCGAGUACAAUGGUUUUACCUCAUGCCAUGUUUGAUUUUACUAGUAACGAAAUGAGAUGAGGAUUAGGUAAAAUAAGACAUAAAACUAGUAAAGUGUAACUCAUAAACUCAACUGUCACUGUAGUAGAAAUAUCCCUUCUACUCCUUCGAGUGGCUGACGUAGAAGCAACCGUAGUUACGGGAGCACGUACAGCUACAGUAGAAGUGGUCCUAGUUACGAGAGCACGUACAGCUAUAGUAGCUAUAGUAGAAGUAGCCCUGGCUGAGGAGGUCCAACAACACAGCACGACCUCUACGACGGACGAAGCUCGACAACGACAACGACGGAUGAAGUUCGGGAGGUCCAUGAGACGUGACGGUUAAGGUAUAAGUAGACUCGUGCUAAAGUCAGAACAUACGGACGAUCUCAAGAACAUGAGUCUUUGAAACAGAACUAACUAUGAGACGGUAGUUAAAAAAUGACAGAUGUCAUGGACAUGUGACUUUGACAGAACUAACUAUGUCAUGAGACGGUCGUUUGAAACAGACCUCAUAAAACUCGAAAAGGAAAAGUUUGAAAAUGAGGUCCUCCGCUAGACCUGGUUCACCCCUCCGAUAGACGUCGUCAUGGACCUCGACGUACCCUCCCGCGCCGCUAGACCUGGACCCCGACGGCUAGACUUCGACAUGGGGGAGGCCGCUCGUCAUGGAGCUAGACUUCGUCAUGAGAGACCUCGACCGCUCCGGAAUCCUCCCCCUGUUGCUAGACGUCGUCGUGGGGGAGGCUGCUCCGCUCAACCACUCCGGGGGAGGUCGCUGUCCCCCGACCUAACCGCGUCCGCUGUCCCCCACCGGGACCCUCUCCCCGCCGGGACCCUACCCCCCGCUGGGACCGCCGUCCUUCGUUCGUCGUCGCCGCUGGCCCUACCUCUCCUAGACGAGCCGCUCCUUCUACUGCCGUUAUCGCUAAGUUUAAUCCCCGUGAAGACAGGAAAGGAGGGAAAAGUGGACCAGCCCUGCAAAAGAUUUUGCAGUAUAUAAAG
Molecule: ribosomal RNA, 1694 nt
Filed under: Triticum aestivum (bread wheat)
Lineage: Eukaryota; Viridiplantae; Streptophyta; Magnoliopsida; Poales; Poaceae
Description: partial small subunit ribosomal RNA
Source: RNAcentral